RNAcentral lists this transfer RNA (73 nucleotides) under Aphyosemion cameronense (Cameroon killifish). RNAcentral's name for it is "tRNA-Val". It matches the Rfam family "tRNA". From Rfam's summary of the family: Transfer RNA (tRNA) molecules are approximately 80 nucleotides in length. Their secondary structure includes four short double-helical elements and three loops (D, anti-codon, and T loops). The record is from RNAcentral. Lineage: Eukaryota; Metazoa; Chordata; Actinopteri; Cyprinodontiformes; Nothobranchiidae.
CAGAGUAUAGCUAAAACAGUUAAAGCAUCUCCCUUACACCGAGAAAAUACCCGUGCAAAUCAGGUUACUCUGA